This 284-nucleotide ribosomal RNA is filed under the name Maymena sp. MYSM-003-ARG. RNAcentral's name for it is "partial 18S ribosomal RNA". It matches the Rfam family "Eukaryotic small subunit ribosomal RNA", at positions 1144 to 1449 of the family's 1831-position model. The record is from RNAcentral. Lineage: Eukaryota; Metazoa; Arthropoda; Arachnida; Araneae; Mysmenidae.
UUAAAGGAAUUGACGGAGGGGCACACAAGGAAUGGAGCCUGCGGCUUAAUUUGACUCAACACGCGAAAGCUUAUCUGGCCCGGACACAGGAAGGAUUGACAGAUUAAGAGCUCUUUCUUGAUUCUGUGGAUGGUGGUGCAUGGCCGCUCUCAGUUGGUGGUGUGAAUUGUCUGAUUAAUUUCGAUAACGAUCGAGACUCUAGCCUGCUAAGUAGACGAUCCGAUCAGUCCCGUCGGACGUCUUCUUCUUAGAGGGACAAACGGCAUUGAGCCGCAUGAGAGGGA